AAAGGUUCGGGCAAAAAUUAGAGAUAAAAAGGAAAAAACUAUACACCCGGCAAGUCGAAAACCCCACAAGGGCGGCUUGGGCAAAAAAGGGUAUCCCGAUGGACUGAAAACCCGAAAGGGCGGUCAAGGCAAAAGAGGGAGUGAAACGAAUAACUGCGUCUAGCAUGAUCCUUUAUACUUUGGUUAAGACACAUGGAUAAUCCCCAGCAGAGAUCGG
RNAcentral lists this long non-coding RNA (217 nucleotides) under Lathyrus oleraceus (garden pea). RNAcentral describes it as "Pisum sativum (pea) long non-coding RNA (PSAT_LNC042182)". Lineage: Eukaryota; Viridiplantae; Streptophyta; Magnoliopsida; Fabales; Fabaceae. The record is from RNAcentral.